This 295-nucleotide long non-coding RNA is filed under the name Brassica napus (rape). RNAcentral's name for it is "long non-coding RNA (BNAP_LNC000382)". The record is from RNAcentral. Lineage: Eukaryota; Viridiplantae; Streptophyta; Magnoliopsida; Brassicales; Brassicaceae.
AAGAAGCCUCGCUGAUUUAGGGGGCUUUCCCACUGCUCACGAAGAUUCCCAAAGCUUAUGCUGUCUCAGCGCUCUUCGAAAAUUCUUAGAGUGCUUAGUAAGCCACAAAGACUCUUCCUCCUCCUGAUCAUGCACCUCGUUCUGACUCACCAUCACUCCCUGACCUAACUCCUCCACUUCUUCUCCUUUAAUCUCCCCUUCCUCUAACUGAUAACUAUCCUCAACUGGCUCCACAACUGGCUCUGAAUUCACCACCGUCGACUCCUUUACCCGAAACAGAGACGCAUAGUCCUGA